RNAcentral lists this ribosomal RNA (457 nucleotides) under uncultured bacterium. Its description in RNAcentral is "bacterial SSU rRNA". It matches the Rfam family "Bacterial small subunit ribosomal RNA", at positions 29 to 534 of the family's 1533-position model. The record is from RNAcentral.
AACGAACGCUGGCGGCAUGCCUAACACAUGCAAGUCGAACGAGACCUUCGGGUCUAGUGGCGCACGGGUGCGUAACGCGUGGGAAUCUGCCCUUGGGUUCGGAAUAACUUCGGGAAACUGAAGCUAAUACCGGAUGAUGACGUAAGUCCAAAGAUUUAUCGCCCAAGGAUGAGCCCGCGUAGGAUUAGCUAGUUGGUGAGGUAAAGGCUCACCAAGGCGACGAUCCUUAGCUGGUCUGAGAGGAUGAUCAGCCACACUGGGACUGAGACACGGCCCAGACUCCUACGGAGGCAGCAGUGGGAAUAUUGGACAAUGGGCGAAAGCCUGAUCCAGCAAUGCCGCGUGAGUGAUGAAGGCCUUAGGGUUGUAAAGCUCUUUACCCGGGAUGAUAAUGACAGUACCGGGAGAAUAAGCUCCGGCUAACUCCGUGCCAGCAGCCGCGGUAAAGUGACUACUG